AUGUGCUUUCAUCUGAUUGGCCAAUGCUGUAGGCUGUGCUGUUUGAAUCAUGCUGCGAAUAGCGAAAGGCGUGUCAUGGCGGCUGCGUGUUUAGCUGUCAGCAAGUGAUUCAAUUCGGCUGAAGACUCGUGCUCCUGUUGUACCGGGGCAGCCGCCGGUGUGCGAGAGACAGUGGAGGAGAUGGACUUUCAGAGAGGUAUCUGGUCGGCGGCUCUUGAUGGAGACCUCAACAAAGUUAGAUACUUUAUUCAUAAAGGGAGGGAUCCGAGCCUGCCUGACAACUUCAGCUACACAGCGCUGCUCGGUGGCAUGUCUUCCUAGCUCGUGUGCCUGCAAUGCUGCGUCCUGGGGGAGAAAUAAUCGGUCGGUGUCCUUCCAGCUUGAAUGUAUUUGCAGCACGACAAAGUGAAGACCCCUCUGGCCAGCAAGGGAGAGACGGAAAAUGCUUGGGCACUUUAUCUUUAAAAAAUAUAAUGGCACGGAGGAAAGGCAUUGGGGGAAAUCUGCAACAGGUGCCAGUAUAAGGACAUAAUAAUGCUCUCCGCUAUAUCAACAGGUCGCUGCAGGGGGAGAGAGUGGGUGCCAUAUUUGCUUGCAAGUUACGUCGGGAUUAGAGAGGUUUUCCUCCUUCAUCACUUCCUCUCCAGCAUUCUGUGGCCAAAUAUCUGUUGGAUUUUCUUUUCUGCUUUCUGCAAACAAAAUAGAAUAAAAGUCAAUAUUUUAACUGUU
Molecule: long non-coding RNA, 729 nt
Organism: Xenopus laevis (African clawed frog)
Lineage: Eukaryota; Metazoa; Chordata; Amphibia; Anura; Pipidae
Exons: 3
Source: RefSeq, a predicted model, not a curated record